GACGAACGCUGGCGGCGUGCCUAAUACAUGCAAGUAGAACGCACAGUUUAUACCGUAGCUUGCUACACCAUAGACUGUGAGUUGCGAACGGGUGAGUAACGCGUAGGUAACCUGCCUGGUAGCGGGGGAUAACUAUUGGAAACGAUAGCUAAUACCGCAUAAUAUUGAUUAUUGCAUGAUAAUUGAUUGAAAGAUGCUAUUGCAUCACUACCAGAUGGACCUGCGUUGUAUUAGCUAGUAGGUGAGGUAACGGCUCACCUAGGCGACGAUACAUAGCCGACCUGGGAGGGUGAUCGGCCACACUGGGACUGAGACACGGCCCAGACGCCUACGGGAGGCAGCAGUAGGGAAUCUUCGGAAAUGGACGAAAGGCGGACCGAGCAACGCCGCGGGAGUGAAGAAGGGUUUCGGAUCGUAAAGCUCUGUUGUAAGAGAAGAACGGGUGUGAGAGUGGAAAGUUCACACUGUGACGGUAUCUUACCAGAAAGGGACGGCUAACUACGUG
Molecule: ribosomal RNA, 505 nt
Filed under: uncultured bacterium
Lineage: Bacteria
Description: partial 16S ribosomal RNA
Rfam family: Bacterial small subunit ribosomal RNA
Source: RNAcentral